RNAcentral lists this long non-coding RNA (273 nucleotides) under Cryptosporidium parvum. The record is from RNAcentral. Lineage: Eukaryota; Apicomplexa; Conoidasida; Eucoccidiorida; Cryptosporidiidae.
AAUUCUGGCCUUCACUCAUCCAUUCAUACUUUACCAGUCAAGCCCUUUAAAUAUAUUAUAGUUAUUCCCAUGUGGGCAGAACAUGGCGCGCUUGUAUGUAAAUGUGCAUGCAAAUUCUUAGUGAAUAAAUGACAAGCAAUACUUCUUAAAUAAAAAAAAAAUGAUUACUCUUUCUUCCUUCCUUCAAGGAUAAAGCAGGCUUUAGUUAUAGUUAUAAUCGUAAUAGAUGGGCGAUCUAUCUUCUUUCUUUUUUUCUUCCUUCUUUCCCCUCCU